Molecule: long non-coding RNA, 534 nt
Organism: Cyprinus carpio carpio
Lineage: Eukaryota; Metazoa; Chordata; Actinopteri; Cypriniformes; Cyprinidae
Source: Ensembl
AUGUGUCCGGUGCAGCAACAGUCACAACCAAAUUUAUAUUCUCAUCUUUGUCAUCCCUGCCCACUGAAACUUUGGUCCUAGGUGCUAUUAGUAAUCUUCAUGAAGCUAGAAAGUCCCAAAUCAAUGAAUCACUGAAGAUUGACAGUUUUACCUAUGAGAAAAUCUCUGAAACUUCCUAUGCUGUCAUCUUUAAUAUUAGUUUGAAUAAUAUCAGCAUGCCUGAGGAUCCUGAGCUAAGAAGCAGCAGUUAUGUGCAAGUGCAAGAUCUUGUCAAUAAUGCAGUAAGAAACUAGCAUUAACACAUUGGUGAAGUGUGGGACCAGUGUAAAUUUUCACCAGAGGUUGAUGAAUGGCUUGAUUUUUUUUCUUCCUGCAGCUGAACACUCUUCUGAAUGAACCUGGCAAGCAAGUUUUCAAACCAAAUUCCUCUCACUUUACGAGCACUUCAAAUCAGAUUGAUGGCAGGAUGGACUACACCUUCCAGGAUGGAGAUGCCAUACAACCAGUCAGCUUCCUAAAUGAGCUUCAUCUUCC